UUUACGAUUUGAGUUUAGAAUUUAAGAUUUAGAAUUUAUAAUUUAGGAUUUGGUGUUUAAAAUUUAGGUUUUUGAUUUGGAGUUUAAAUUUUAGAUUUUUAGAGUUUUGGUUUUUGCUGACGGCGUUAACGUCGUGUUGUUUUUUCAACCAUUUAUUUUUAAAUUUUAUUACAUUUUUAACUAGUCCUACGUGGUAUUUUGGUUGGUUAUAAAAGUUGAAGUGAAUUUAAUAACCUAAAUUUUGUUCUUCUUUUUCUCAUGUUAUAGGUGAAAACAUGCACUCGUAUUGUAGACCCAAAAAAACAUGCACACGUACGUGAAUCUAAUGCAUUUGAAUCGGCGAAUAUGCCUUAUUAUUCUUUGUUUUUUGUUAAAACAAAUUUACAUGCGUAAUGAAUUUCUUUCCGCCCUCAUCAACUAAAGUGGAAGGACGUACUCUCAUAAGUCUCAUUGUUGGGUAAUUAAGCUCUGUCUUAAUCUUAAAGCAAGGUACGCAUAAAAAUAUCCGAAUCUGGUUUGCUGAUUAGAAAAUAUUAUACCCAAUGUUAUUGACCGAAUCUGUAAACUAGAUG
This 572-nucleotide long non-coding RNA is filed under the name Brassica napus (rape). RNAcentral's name for it is "long non-coding RNA (BNAP_LNC000760)". Lineage: Eukaryota; Viridiplantae; Streptophyta; Magnoliopsida; Brassicales; Brassicaceae. The record is from RNAcentral.